AUGCCUUGCUUUGAUGUCAGUGAUGAGCCUGGGAGAAGAAUUCAAGAAUUAAAGAACAUGAACCAUAUUCGAGGAAUAUUGGAGAUAAGUGGCCUCUGCAGCGUCAUGGGUAUGGUGCAAUCUGCUGAGGCUGAAUUAGAUAAGAAGAUUUACAUUGAUACAUUGAUUCUGUCGUGGCACGAGUCGAUCAGGCCUGAAAAGCACAACAGUGGCCAGGAGAUGGAAGUGCUUGAAGGCCUGCGCCCUUGCUCCAAUAUCAAACAUCUGGAAGUCAAGUUUUAUAUGGGCGAUGGGCUCCAUCCAAGUUGGCUCCAUGAAGAUGUGCUAAGCAGCUUGGCGUCGCUCUCGAUCAGCUCAUGUCCUAACGUUGCAACCCUUUUCGGCGAACCCUCCAGAACAGGCGGUAGCACCAGCAGCUCUACCGGGUUCCGGUCACUCACCAAGCUGUGCAUUACCUGGUGCAGAAGGCUAAGAGGCCUUGACAAUUUCCUGCAUCCAGAUAACCUGCCGGCGAUCAAGGUGGUAAGGAUCUCAAACUGUGAGGACCUAGCGUCACUGCCAACCAAGAGCCUUGGGGGCUUUGUUCAUCUGGAGGAUCUGGAGGUGUCUCACUGCUGGAGCCUCGACUGGGAGCAAAGCUUGGCCUUGCCCGCGUCGCUGAAAGUACUCAAGCUUGAGGCAUGUGGGGAGUUCUCCGAUUCGACGCUCAGCUGCCUCCGCGGCCUCGUCGCUCUUGCCAGCUUGGACCUACAGUUCUGCCCGAGCAUCGAGUCCAUUUGCACCGAAACCUGGAGCGGCCUAGUGUCACUGCAGAACCUGAAGAUCGUAUGCUGCCAGGGACUGAAUUCGAUUGGAGGACCAGGCUCGAUUGCACGUAUAAAAGACGUGGAUAUCAGGCACUGCCCCAAGCUGAAAGAGCUAGUGCAGCCGUUUCGUAGAGGCUGCUACUGCUAG
Molecule: ribosomal RNA, 954 nt
Filed under: Triticum aestivum (bread wheat)
Lineage: Eukaryota; Viridiplantae; Streptophyta; Magnoliopsida; Poales; Poaceae
Description: partial small subunit ribosomal RNA
Source: RNAcentral